UCCGUAGGUGAACCUGCGGAAGGAUCAUUACCUUUCAAUGCAGCAGAAUUGGGAUGGUUGAGUAUCUCGCCUCUCAGUUCUGCCUGUAUUCUACCCUUGUUUGCCAUAUACCAUUAUUUCCUCGGCAGGCUUGCCUGCCGAGUGAAACCAUUUAUAACCUUUUUAAUUUUCAAUCAGCGUCUGAAAAAAUUAAUAAUUACAACUUUCAACAACGGAUCUCUUGGUUCUGGCAUCGAUGAAGAACGCAGCGAAAUGCGAUAAGUAGUGUGAAUUGCAGAAUUCAGUGAAUCAUCGAAUCUUUGAACGCACAUUGCGCCCCUUGGUAUUCCAUGGGGCAUGCCUGUUCGAGCGUCAUUUGUACCUUCAAGCUUUGCUUGGUGUUGGGUGUUUGUCCCGAGGGACUCGCCUUAAAGUAAUUGGCAGCCAGUGUUUGGUUUUGAAGCGCAGCACAAGUCGCGAUUCAAGGCUACACGCCCGCUUCCACAAGCCUUUUUUCACUUUUGACCUCGGAUCAGGUAGGGAUACCCGCUGAACUUAAUCCGUAGGUGAACCUGCGG
This 557-nucleotide ribosomal RNA is filed under the name fungal sp. RC03. RNAcentral describes it as "eukaryotic LSU rRNA". The stretch from base 201 to 354 matches the Rfam family "5.8S ribosomal RNA". The record is from RNAcentral. Lineage: Eukaryota; Fungi.